AUUGAACGCUGGCGGCAGGCCUAACACAUGCAAGUCGAACGGUAACAGGAAGAAGCUUGCUUCUUUGCUGACGAGUGGCGGACGGGUGAGUAAUGUCUGGGAAACUGCCUGAUGGAGGGGGAUAACUACUGGAAACGGUAGCUAAUACCGCAUAACGUCGCAAGACCAAAGAGGGGGACCUUCGGGCCUCUUGCCAUCGGAUGUGCCCAGAUGGGAUUAGCUAGUAGGUGGGGUAACGGCUCACCUAGGCGACGAUCCCUAGCUGGUCUGAGAGGAUGACCAGCCACACUGGAACUGAGACACGGUCCAGACUCCUACGGGAGGCAGCAGUGGGGAAUAUUGCACAAUGGGCGCAAGCCUGAUGCAGCCAUGCCGCGUGUAUGAAGAAGGCCUUCGGGUUGUAAAGUACUUUCAGCGGGGAAGAAGGGAGUAAAGUUAAUACCUUUGCUCAUUGACGUUACCCGCAGAAGAAGCACCGGCUAACUCCGUG
RNAcentral lists this ribosomal RNA (490 nucleotides) under uncultured bacterium. RNAcentral's name for it is "partial 16S ribosomal RNA". It matches the Rfam family "Bacterial small subunit ribosomal RNA", at positions 30 to 507 of the family's 1533-position model. The record is from RNAcentral.